GUGGGGAAUAUUGGACAAUGGGCGAAAGCCUGAUCCAGCCAUGCCGCGUGUGUGAAGAAGGUCUUCGGAUUGUAAAGCACUUUAAGUUGGGAGGAAGGGCAGUAAGUUAAUACCUUGCUGUUUUGACGUUACCGACAGAAUAAGCACCGGCUAACUUCGUGCCAGCAGCCGCGGUAAUACGAAGGGUGCAAGCGUUAAUCGGAAUUACUGGGCGUAAAGCGCGCGUAGGUGGUUUUGUAAGUUGGAGGUGAAAUCCACGGGCUCAACCUGGGAACUGCAUCCAAAACUGCAUGACUAGAGUACGGUAGAGGGUAGUGGAAUUGCCUGUGUAGCGGUGAAAUGCGUAGAUAUAGGAAGGAACACCAGUGGCGAAGGCGACUACCUGGACUGAGACUGACACUGAGGUGCGAAAGCGUGGGGAGCAAACAGGAUUAGAUACCCGGGUAGUCC
This 450-nucleotide ribosomal RNA is filed under the name uncultured bacterium. Its description in RNAcentral is "partial 16S ribosomal RNA". It matches the Rfam family "Bacterial small subunit ribosomal RNA", at positions 354 to 796 of the family's 1533-position model. The record is from RNAcentral.